This 268-nucleotide long non-coding RNA is filed under the name Anser brachyrhynchus (Pink-footed goose). RNAcentral's name for it is "lncRNA (ENSABRG00000003270.1)". The record is from RNAcentral. Lineage: Eukaryota; Metazoa; Chordata; Aves; Anseriformes; Anatidae.
GGAAUCAACAAAUAAGCAACUGAAUGAAAGAAUGAUAUUAUUUGAUAAUUGAAGUUGAGAUUUUUUGCUGAUGGGCUGUGCUGCCAGCUGAUCUAUUUCCAAAAGCACUUGCUGACAGAUAAUUGACCAUCUGAUCACUGAUCCACAUAGCUGUGGAACUGAAUGGAAAAAAAGGGAAUAUGUCACUUUGGCCUGGAAAUUGAAAUACUAUAAAAAAGAAGAAGAAGAAAGACAAAAAAUAAAUAAAUAAAAAUAAAAAUAAAAACAC